AGAAUCAACGCUGGCGGCGUGCCUAACACAUGCAAGUCGAACGAGAAAGUGGAGCAAUCCAUGAGUAAAGUGGCGACCGGGUGAGUAACACGUGACUAACCUACCCUUGAGUGGGGGAUAACCUAGGGAAACCUGGGCUAAUACCGCAUAACAUCUUUGGAUCGGAAGAACUGGAGAUCAAAGGAGCAAUUCGCUUAAGGAGGGGGUCGCGGCUGAUUAGCUAGUUGGCGGGGUAAUGGCCCACCAAGGCUUUGAUCGGUAGCCGGCCUGAGAGGGCGCACGGCCACACUGGAACUGAAACACGGUCCAGACUCCUACGGGAGGCAGCAGUGGGGAAUUUUGCGCAAUGGGGGAAACCCUGACGCAGCAACGCCGCGUGGAGGAUGAAGUCCCUUGGGACGUAAACUCCUUUCGACCGGGACGAUAAUGACGGUACCGGUGGAAGAAGCCCCGGCUAACUUCGUGCCAGCAGCCGCGGUAAUACGAGGGGGGCAAGCGUUGUUCGGAAUUAUUGGGCGUAAAGGGCGCGUAGGCGGUGCGGUAAGUCACCUGUGAAACCUCCGGGCUUAACUCGGAGCCUGCAGGCGAAACUGCCGUGCUCGAGGGUGGGAGAGGUGCGUGGAAUUCCCGGUGAAGCGGUGAAAUGCGUAGAUAUCGGGAGGAACACCUGUGGCGAAAGCGGCGCACUGGACCACUUCUGACGCUGAGGCGCGAAAGCUAGGGGAGCAAACAGGAUUAGAUACCCUGGUAGUCCUAGCCCUAAACGAUGGAUGCUUGGUGUGAUCGGUACCCAAUCCGAUUGUGCCGUAGCUAACGCGUUAAGCAUCCCGCCUGGGGAGUACGGUCGCAAGGCUGA
Molecule: ribosomal RNA, 856 nt
Filed under: uncultured bacterium
Lineage: Bacteria
Description: bacterial SSU rRNA
Rfam family: Bacterial small subunit ribosomal RNA
Source: RNAcentral